CUAUGAUUGAAGAGAGUACGCAUCUCCCCAUCAGCAAGUGAAGGCAAAGUGGGUGGGAGACAGGAGGGAAGGGAAGGGAAGGGAAGGGAAGGGAAGGGAAGGGAAGGGAAGGGAAGGGGAGGGCCUAGAUGCUUGGCAGGUCUGAAUACAGUUCAUCUCUCUGUGGUUGUUGUAAAAAACAUCUUACAGCCAUUUCUCUCCAUUAAAGCCCUGAUGACUGACAAAUGCUCUGUUUGCUCUAAGAUUGCCUCUUCAUCUUUGGGAAGAGAUAGUGCAGCUGAAUACAGCUCAGCCUUCAUUUGUUUGGAAUCACUUCAUGCUUUUCUCCUCUGCUGGUGGAUUUCUUAAUGCCUGCAAAUAUCGUUCUCUCAUGAAGGCCUCAUUAAUAAUUAUUUCUAUUUCCUUUAUUUUCUGCAGGGACAUACCAGCUCAGGAAGAGUGGUUUCCAGUGGGAGAUAAUGUUUCUUCAGGACUUUCCAUCCCAUGUGUAACAGCAAAGACUUAAUUGCUUAAGCUCAAGCUGGAACUGGGAAAAUCUGUCUUUUGUUCUUGCACCAAGAAAACCAUCAGCAGUGUGCAGUUUGGGAAAAGGAGCCAUACACCAAACAUACUGCUCCUUUUCCAACACGGGAGAUGGCAGUUCAGGUAGCUGUAGCCUUUUAAGGACCUCAGAAAAACUUUCUGUGGUAUGUGUUUAUGUGGGAACUCAAUAGAGGACAAUUUGAUAUUAUUGAUAGUGACACUGAUGCUUCGGUGGGAACUCUAGGUCAAACCAAAGACUACAUUCAAAAUAGCAGACUGGAUCUUCCUAAUGUAAGGCACAUUUCAGAUGGAGCUGAACACUCUGCACGCAGACUUUGCGGAACAUCUCUGAAUAACUAAGUAACAGCAAAGUUCUUCAUUUUGUAAAUGCUGAAAUGAAACUUUUUCAAUUUAAAACACCAGGUUUUAUCUCUGAAAAAAGAAUUUUAUAUAAAUUUGCAUUUUAAAAUCCAAGUCUGUAUUGUUGGGUUACUAUAAAUUUAAGGUCCUAUAUUUCAGGCAGCUUCUGUGGUAACUGUGGCUACUUUCUAGCUCUGAAGAAAGUUACUAACUUUCUGGUUCAGUGUUUGAUUUGCAAAGAGAACAAGGCUGAAGUAAUGGUGCAUUUGCAUUUUCCAGCAGAUUUGCGGCCAAUAUAUGAUGCACUUUCUGUCAGAAGCAAUAAUUUAUUACAGCUUAUAUGAUAAAUAGCUUAGAAAUCAAAUCAGUUAUGGAGAGCUUUAUGCUAUUUAUUUCCAAUCAGAUAAAGAGGAAUUUACUACUUCUAGGGAAAAAAAAUAUAAAAAGUUAAAAAGCCACUUGCACAACAUUUUGGAUGGAACUCUUAAACUAUAAUGCAUCCCUAGAAUACUAUUCCAGGGAUAUAUUAUAGUCAUAUGAUCAUAGAAUGAUUAGAAAUCCGUAACAGAGUAUUCGUUUGCCAGGUAUACAUAUAAAAAGACCUCUUAUCCAUGCAAUUUGACUUCCAUCCACUCGAACAAUUUUGUUCAUUAGAUACUGGUGUGGAAUGUAAUCCAUCUAAAAGAAUGAACCAUUUUUCUGGUACAGGACAGUUUAUUAUUCUAAAAGCUCUUUCGUUAUAUCCCUUGUAUUAUGAAGGCAAGAGACAUCCUGCUUAUUAUUUAGCCUGAGAGCAAUGUACAUGGUCACAAUAAACAGUGAAAAUGUCUGUAGGUGUGUGCGUGU
This 1728-nucleotide long non-coding RNA is filed under the name Calidris pygmaea (Spoon-billed sandpiper). RNAcentral describes it as "lncRNA (ENSCPGG00000003227.1)". The record is from RNAcentral. Lineage: Eukaryota; Metazoa; Chordata; Aves; Charadriiformes; Scolopacidae.